UCGCCUAUGGGGGGCAGCAGUGAGGAAUAUUGGUCAAUGGUCGGGAGACUGAACCAGCCAAGCCGCGUGAGGGAUGAAGGUACAGAGUAUCGUAAACCUCUUUUGUCAGGGAACAAAGGCGGGGACGUGUCCCCGGAUGAGUGUACCUGAAGAAAAAGCAUCGGCUAACUCCGUGCCAGCAGCCGCGGUAAUACGGAGGAUGCGAGCGUUAUCCGGAUUUAUUGGGUUUAAAGGGUGCGGAGGCGGCCCGUUAAGCCACCGGGAAAAU
This 268-nucleotide ribosomal RNA is filed under the name uncultured bacterium. Its description in RNAcentral is "partial 16S ribosomal RNA". It matches the Rfam family "Bacterial small subunit ribosomal RNA", at positions 335 to 600 of the family's 1533-position model. The record is from RNAcentral.